UCUCCGUAGGUGAACCUGCGGAAGGAUCAUUCAUAAUAAAGUGUUUUAUGGCACUUUUUAAAAAUCCAUAUCCACCUUGUGUGCAAUGUUAGAUCUCGUCAAUCUUGGCGAGAUUUUUAUACAUCAACUCAUUCUUUAACUAAUUUGUCUGAAAAAUAUUAUGAAUACUUAAUUCAAAAUACAACUUUCAACAACGGAUCUCUUGGCUCUC
Molecule: unclassified non-coding RNA, 211 nt
Filed under: plant metagenome
Description: partial contains small subunit ribosomal RNA, internal transcribed spacer 1, and 5.8S ribosomal RNA
Source: RNAcentral